GGCAAGGUGGCCGAGUGGUCCAAGGCGCCACGUUAAGGUGUUUAAACCCUUAAUCAAAAUCCGUGGUCUCGUUCAGGGGCGUGAGUUCGAAUCUCACCCUUGUCA
This 105-nucleotide transfer RNA is filed under the name Thermochaetoides thermophila DSM 1495. RNAcentral describes it as "Chaetomium thermophilum var. thermophilum DSM 1495 tRNA". It matches the Rfam family "tRNA". Rfam says of the family: Transfer RNA (tRNA) molecules are approximately 80 nucleotides in length. Their secondary structure includes four short double-helical elements and three loops (D, anti-codon, and T loops). Lineage: Eukaryota; Fungi; Ascomycota; Sordariomycetes; Sordariales; Chaetomiaceae. The record is from Rfam by way of RNAcentral.